This 372-nucleotide ribosomal RNA is filed under the name uncultured organism. Its description in RNAcentral is "bacterial SSU rRNA". It matches the Rfam family "Bacterial small subunit ribosomal RNA", at positions 526 to 896 of the family's 1533-position model. The record is from RNAcentral.
CGUAGGGUGCGAGCGUUAAUCGGAAUUACUGGGCGUAAAGCGUGCGCAGGCGGUUUUGUAAGACAGGCGUGAAAUCCCCGGGCUCAACCUGGGAACUGCGCUUGUGACUGCAAGGCUAGAGUACGGCAGAGGGGGGUGGAAUUCCACGUGUAGCAGUGAAAUGCGUAGAGAUGUGGAGGAACACCAAUGGCGAAGGCAGCCCCCUGGGUCGAUACUGACGCUCAUGCACGAAAGCGUGGGUAGCAAACAGGAUUAGAUACCCUGGUAGUCCACGCCCUAAACGAUGUCAACUAGGUGUUGGGUGGUAAAACCAUUUAGUACCGGAGCUAACGCGUGAAGUUGACCGCCGUGGGGAGUACGGCCGCAAGGUUA